RNAcentral lists this ribosomal RNA (429 nucleotides) under Pseudomonadota bacterium. RNAcentral describes it as "Proteobacteria bacterium partial 16S ribosomal RNA". It matches the Rfam family "Bacterial small subunit ribosomal RNA", at positions 355 to 776 of the family's 1533-position model. The record is from RNAcentral. Lineage: Bacteria; Pseudomonadati; Pseudomonadota.
UGGGGAAUAUUGGACAAUGGGCGAAAGCCUGAUCCAGCCAUGCCGCGUGUGUGAAGAAGGUCUUCGGAUUGUAAAGCACUUUAAGUUGGGAGGAAGGGCAGUAAGCGAAUACCUUGCUGUUUUGACGUUACCGACAGAAUAAGCACCGGCUAACUCUGUGCCAGCAGCCGCGGUAAUACAGAGGGUGCAAGCGUUAAUCGGAAUUACUGGGCGUAAAGCGCGCGUAGGUGGUUCGUUAAGUUGAAUGUGAAAGCCCCGGGCUCAACCUGGGAACUGCAUCCAAAACUGGCGAGCUAGAGUAGGGCAGAGGGUGGUGGAAUUUCCUGUGUAGAGGUGAAAUGCGUAGAUAUAGGGAGGAACACCAGUGGCGAAGGCGACCACCUGGGCUCAUACUGACACUGAGGUGCGAAAGCGUGGGGAGCAAACAGG